Molecule: ribosomal RNA, 571 nt
Filed under: uncultured bacterium
Lineage: Bacteria
Description: partial 16S ribosomal RNA
Rfam family: Bacterial small subunit ribosomal RNA
Source: RNAcentral
UGGGGAAUAUUGCACAAUGGGCGCAAGCCUGAUGCAGCCAUGCCGCGUGUGUGAAGAAGGCCUUCGGGUUGUAAAGCACUUUCAGCGAGGAGGAAGGUGGUGAGCUUAAUACGCUCAUCAAUUGACGUUACUCGCAGAAGAAGCACCGGCUAACUCCGUGCCAGCAGCCGCGGUAAUACGGAGGGUGCAAGCGUUAAUCGGAAUUACUGGGCGUAAAGCGCACGCAGGCGGUUUGUUAAGUCAGAUGUGAAAUCCCCGGGCUCAACCUGGGAACUGCAUUUGAAACUGGCAAGCUAGAGUCUCGUAGAGGGGGGUAGAAUUCCAGGUGUAGCGGUGAAAUGCGUAGAGAUCUGGAGGAGUACCGGUGGCGAAGGCGGCCCCCUGGACGAAGACUGACGCUCAGGUGCGAAAAGCGUGGGGAGCAAAACAGGAUUAGAUACCCUGGUAGUCCACGCUGUAAAACGAUGUCGAUUUUGGAGGUUGUGCCCUUGAGGCGUGGCUUCCGGAGCUAACGCGUUAAAUCGACCGCCUGGGGAGUACGGCCGCAAGGUUAAAACUUAAAGGAAUUGAC